GACGAACGCUGGCGGCGUGCUUAACACAUGCAAGUCGAACGGAAAGGCCCUGCUUUUGUGGGGUGCUCGAGUGGCGAACGGGUGAGUAACACGUGAGUAACCUGCCCUUGACUUUGGGAUAACUUCAGGAAACUGGGGCUAAUACCGGCUAGGAGCUCCUGCUGCAUGGUGGGGGUUGGAAAGUUUCGGCGGUUGGGGAUGGACUCGCGGCGUAUCAGCUUGUUGGUGGGGUAGUGGCUUACCAAGGCUUUGACGGGUAGCCGGCCUGAGCGGGUGACCGGCCACAUUGGGACUGAGAUACGGCCCAGACUCCUACGGGAGGCAGCAGUGGGGAAUAGUGCACAAUGGGCGGAAGCCUGAUGCAGCAACGCCGCGUGCGGGAUGACGGCCUUCGGGUUGUAAACCGCUUUCGCCUGUGACGAAGCGUGAGUGACGGUAAUGGGUAAAGAAGCACCGGCUAACUACGUG
RNAcentral lists this ribosomal RNA (468 nucleotides) under uncultured bacterium. Its description in RNAcentral is "partial 16S ribosomal RNA". It matches the Rfam family "Bacterial small subunit ribosomal RNA", at positions 28 to 507 of the family's 1533-position model. The record is from RNAcentral.